RNAcentral lists this ribosomal RNA (253 nucleotides) under uncultured bacterium. Its description in RNAcentral is "partial 16S ribosomal RNA". It matches the Rfam family "Bacterial small subunit ribosomal RNA", at positions 524 to 776 of the family's 1533-position model. The record is from RNAcentral.
UACAGAGGUCCCAAGCGUUGUUCGGAUUCAUUGGGCGUAAAGGGUGCGUAGGCGGCGCGGUAAGUCGGGUGUGAAAUCUCGGGGCUUAACUCCGAAACUGCAUUCGAUACUGCCGUGCUUGAGGACUGGAGAGGAGACUGGAGUUUACGGUGUAGCGGUGAAAUGCGUAGAUAUCGUAAGGAAGACCAGUGGCGAAGGCGGGUCUCUGGACAGUUCCUGACGCUGAGGCACGAAGGCCAGGGGAGCAAACGGG